AGGAUGAUUAAAAGAUUGAAAUUCCUAAUAAGGCAGCCUGGGGGAGUGGAUGUGGAUGCUGGGUUUGACAUUGAGCCACUAUAAAUUCUUUGUGUUUGAGGUAUUCUGAUUGUUUAGCAUGUCCAUUUUAUUCUUUGGAUUAUUUAUUGUUCAUACUUAUCUUAGCAACUUAUGGACACUUUCAAAAGUGAGUUUUCUGCUGCACAUAUUUUGUAAAUUUUGAAAAAUUUAACUCAACCCCCCCCCCCCCAAAAAAAAAAAAACAAAGGAAUUAUUGAGAAUUAUCCAAGGAAGCAUGAUUUGGUAUAAUAGUGCGUCAAUAUUUGAACAUACAAUUUAACUUAGGUUGCUACAUUAAACUAAUGGCCUAAACUUUAGCCUAUGCACACAGAUAUAUCUACCAAUUUGUAAGGUAGAUAGUAUCACUCUAAUACUUUUUUUUUUUAAAUCUCUAAAUACCUCACAGCCAUCAUAUUGAGAGAAAUGCUGCAGUUUGAGGAAGCAUGGAGCAGGAAGAAUAUUCUUUUUGACAAAAAAAUCUGUAAACAUUAGAUUCCAAUUUUGAUUAUUUUAUGAAUAAUAAUUUUAAGAUUAAAAAUAUUUUACUAUUUAAUUAUUAUAGAUUGGAUUUAUAUUAAAAUUUAUUAUUUUUUUAAGUUCAAGUCUUCCUAGAACUUUAGCAUUAUUUUUUAUAUAUUUAUUUAUUUUAAAUAAAGGAUCCAUGUAUUGCACAUGCCACAUUGUAAUUAGAAUCGGAGAUAUUAGAACUAAGAUUUUUCGCAUGCCUUUCAUAUUGGAUUGGGGAAGCAUAGUAUGGAGAGUAUUAUUUUUUGACAAAAAAUCUAAAAGCCUCGGAUUCUAAUUUUGAUUAUUUUAAUUAAGAUAGUUUUCAGAUUAAGAUAUUUUAUUAUUUAAUCAUUAUAUAUCAUGUUUGUAUUAGAAAUAUCAUAACUAUUUUAUUACAUUUGUCUAUCAAAAAUUUAAGUCCUACAAGAAAACUUCUCUAACUUUUUUUUUGCAUUAUUAAUAUCCAGAGCAACAAAUUUUGUACUAUUUUCUAUAAGAGUUCGAGUCGAGUGAAUUUGAGGAAUUGCUUCCUUCUUCUCUCUUUAUUCGAAUCAUAGAAUAGCAAUACCACUAAAAUUCUCUUACCAAGAAUUCCAUUCAUGGAAUUGUGCCACCCAUUCUCGAGCUCUCAAUCCCACCACCCAAACAGGGGCUAUAGGGGAAGGAACUGAGAAAUUGGAUUUUAUGGGAUGAGAGUGGUUUAGCUCUGUUGCCAAAUGGAAACUGAAUAAUGCUUAGAACCCUCCUACAAUACAUUGCAUACUUUUGAGAUUUAUGCCCAUCUUUUUUAUUGUUUUUUUUUUUUUUUUUGUCUGAAAGCGGAUGUUUCAUAUAGUGCGUAUACGGAUACACCUAAAAAAGUCAAAAUACAACAAUUCGCAGAGUGCUAGUGGCAGCUCUCCCUCCCCUGACCAAAGAUUGUACCCUGAGUGGUGGGCCGCUAUCCAGUCGGCCGCCCCAUUGGCUUUUCUAAAUACAUGCUUGGCCUGAAAGACCCUCCCAUCUGUCAUCAUCAUCCCUAUGUUACGGAUUAAGGGGUGGUCUGUGCCGUCACCCCUCGACCCCCUCUAAAUCCACCCGAUAACCGUAGCCAUCUUUAUGUAUUCAAUGAUGCAUUUGGAAAGCAUUUCAAAUCUCAAAGGCCACCAUGUAUUAAAUUUUCAGCGAGAAGUCUAUCUUUGGAUCGUUAUCAUUAUCAUCACCUUUAAAUAAGCACCCCUAAACUAGUGGAGAUCAUGCUCAAAUAGGCACGGUUUCUCCGAUGGAUUUUGCUGUCAAUAUGCGAGCAUGGCAAUACGGGAGGCCGGCUUAAGUUGGCAUGAUUAGAACUAGAACACAUGAUUUAUCUCAGUAAGCGACUAAUGAGGUUUUUUUGGUUCAAUAAGAGUGACUAAAGCAUGGUUCCGCAAUGACAGAUCAUAGACAUGAUAUGGGUGUUACUAAUCAUGGUUCGGCACAGUUCGAGUACAGCACCAAAAAUUUCUGCUGUGGUUUAUUCCAACUCCAUAGCGACAUGUUUGGCGUUCAGAAACAAUUUGGAUAUUUCAAAUUGAGAACAAAAAUAUAACUUCAUCAAAAGUUUGAAAAACUCAAAUAAUUAUAUAUAUAAAAAAGAAAAUAAUGGACAUUAGAUUUUUAAAAAAUUGGCAUAUUUACUCAUGAAAAUUAGCAUAAAAAUGAAGAAUAAAUCCAUGUCCACCUCAUGAUUGAAUAGAUCUGAACGGAUUUGUUUAUUGAGAAUAUUUCAAAGAAUCAUUUGGAGAAGGAAAAGCUUGAAAAAAGCUGGGUCUUUUCGGCCACUCAAGAGAAUAUUGCUUCUGUUGUCCAUUCCUAUCCUGAGUUACCCAUAAUUCUCAUGUUACUUGCCACAUGGUUGGCUCAGACAAGAUUUCAUCGCCUACAUAAAGAGUUCUUUGAUAUACUUAGGAACAUAUGUUGCCCCAAAUAAGUAAUAGAGAGAGAAAAAGAGAGAAGCUAAGACAAGGGAGAGGCAUCAAAUCAAUAAUGGUCAGACAACCAUCUGCAAGUUCCUUCUGUAAUAUAGUGGAGAGAUCCACAGAGUUGCAAGGAAAAAGGAAGCAUGGAGAUCCCAAAUUUCAAUGUGCAACAGAAAAUAGUCAACAACAAUAUGAAGCCACUGUUUUGUUUGUUUCUUGAAUUUGUUUUAUUUAGUCUUUUAAUACUGCACCCUCACUGUUAUAUAUACAAGUAACAGAAUUAGAACAAACUCCAAUGGAGGAAAAAAAAAGAAAAAAAAGAGAAGAAAAGUAUAUAAUGCACACAGCUCCAUUGAGUUAACAGCUCCCAAGUGCUUCCAAAAUGCUAAAAAAGGAUUGGCAGAGAUCACUGGAGCUGUUAAAAACUGGGAGGAAAAACACUUCUAGUUAAGUACCUUUUCUUGGAUCAUCAACAUAUCCAUCCACAGGUCGUAUGAGUUAUUAUACCGGGUAAUGUUUAUCUAACACCAGUAAAAAAGGACCCAUAUCAUUCACCUUUAUUUUUUUCUGGUUUCACUAAUUUCUUCUCGCAAAGACAACCUUUGGGCUUGCCUGAAGCUGAAGAAGGCAAUCAUGCACUGUGGGCUUGGAGUUGUUCUCAAAAUCAGGCUUAAGUCUCAUCUGCAAUGUAAACAUUUAUUUAUGUUUGAUGAGUUUAACAAAUACAGUACAACUUUGCCAAAGUUGAAUAUGAUAUUGUAAUUCAUUACAAGGUAUGAUUUUAGCCGAUGGAAAGAACUAGUUGAAUGUAAAAAGAAAUUAUUCGUGAAUCACCUCUUGAUCUCAAGUCCCCUUUUUUUACAGCUAAAGGUACUCAGCAACAUGUCAUGCGCUAAUUAACUUAAAGAGGAGUAUUUUCAAUCAGGUAAACAACAAAAGCCAAUUAUGCCUCAUGCUCUUUUAAGCAUCGAUUUCAUGCCACAUGCAUAAAUAAUCAAACAUGUUAUGCAUUUCUACAUAUAAACACACCAAAAUGACGAAAAAACGCUAGUUGCAGCAUGCAAUUAUCAAAAGAAAGAAAAGAAAGAUUACUAACACAUGGUAUAUAUGAAACAUAGUUUGUUUUUGAUUUUGAACUGAUAACAUUACAAAUCUGUACCGAUUUCGGUCACAAUACAUGCAGUGCUUGUUGCUGCAAAAAAAGAAUUAAAAAAUGCAUUGAUGUAUGUAAUCCAUUCUUUGUUAUUAAAAUCUGAGAUGUCCCUCCAAAAAUUAAUCUAAAAUCACAAGCAAAGUUUCAAAUAUCGUGCAAUUUGGUCACGUACUGCUUGCUGGCAGGUACAGAGUGUUAGGUGAGGACCCAAUGACGACUUAGUUUUUCACUCUCGAACUCAAGUCGAAUAAAUCUAGACAUAUGUCGGACGACGGGGUUUGACGAGUUAUCCAUGACCUCCGGUCUGUAGGAAUCCAUGAUAGAAAUACUGUAUCAUACGAUAACUGCACCUACAGGUUCAUCAUUCUACUCUGCUGGGUAGCCACUACAUACUGCUAGGUGUCACUGGUGGAUGGUGAGACUCACAGGGACCAUUCUGAUGGUCGAUGAUCCCUGGUGAAAUCACAAAGGGGAUAAAGAUGAGCUCCUAUUUUGAAUUCACAAAGGGAUAAAGAUGAGCUCCUAAAAUUUAGGAGCUCAUCUCUAUCCCCACACCAUAAAAGAGGGGUUCAAAGGGGCUACGAAUUUUUCAUGGUUUUUCCUUGGGAUUUUUGGCAGCAAGGAACCUCCUUCCAUCCCUCCUUUCAGCCACAAGAAAGCAAGAAAAAAAGGCUUGUGGCGUGGCCCUUCUUCCUUCCAUUCUUUGGUUCCAACGCGAAGGGAAAAAUGAAAGACUGCGGGUUUUACAUUCUUCUUCCUACAUCCCUCCUUCUUCCUCCUCUCAAGGUAAUCAAAAGUUGAUUCAAAGGAGAGGAUAUCAGCCAUCAAAAGCUAUCUCUGCAAGGGAGCUAGCACCCCGGGAAGAUCCAAAAGCUUCAAUUGGUGCUAUACCUCGUGUGGAUACCUGUAGAGGCCGGAUGCGUGUGCGGCUUCCAUCGAACCUUCAACAAAUCCACGUAAAUCAGAUUUGCAGAGACCAUCUACCCGCACAAGAUGAAGAUCUGAUCUUCUUAAUGAUUUUAAAAUGGUUUAUAAGAAUUUAAUCCUAAUCUAUCUACAAACGACGGUUUUAAAAUACGUUCAUGCGAUGAACGGGAUCGCACAUGCCCUUCCGCUGCACAUCUAAAAAUUUUUGAAAUUUUUCUGCGGCAUGCAUCAGAUCCUAACAGUGGUAUCAGAGCCAGGUUAUGUAGAUUAAGAUUGGAAUUAAAUUUUUAAAGGCAUUUUAAAUCUAAAAUUUAAAGAAUUAUGCUUGCUGAAAUUUUCUGCAUACAGAAUUUUCAGCUUGCUGAUUUUUCUGCAUGCUAAUUUUUGAAUGCUUAGAUUAAUGAUUCUAAUGCUUUGGUAAUGUGAUUACAAAUAUUUAGAAUCAUAUCUUGCAUAAUCAGCAAGUCAUAAGAUGAAAUAAUCAGUUAAAUUACAGAUCUGAAAAUAAUAUUUAUGCAUGAGAUGCGUAUGGUGAUGAUCAUGGAUGGACCCUUUUGAAUGUGCUGAAAUAUUCUGCGAUAUUCUGUGAUGCUAUGUGAUGGCAUGUAAUUUUAAUUUUCAGAUGCCUGCGUGCAUCUUAAAUUCAUGUAUUAAAGACCUGCGUGUCUCAUGAAAAAGGGUUGUAAUUUAUUCUUUUAUUUUAUUUAAUUUUUAAAGCAAUCUGGGAUGUAAUCUGUGAUGUGUGUUGCACGUCGAUGGUUGAUCGAUAUGUACAUUAACAAGCUUAACAUGCACGGAUCGAAAUCAAGGGUUGAUUGAAGAUGGAUCAAGGAGUUGAUCACAAUUGGACCUAGGGAUCAAGAUCAAGUCAAAAGUUGAAGAUGAUCAAACCAAUUGACGUGCAUGUGAUUGUAAAAUGACCCCAUCCUGGAUCCAUGAUCAUCACCAUUUAAAUUUAUUUGUUGAUAAAUGCCUGGAUGUUUAAUGCUUAUGUCUAUACGGGUAGAUAUAUAUUUGCAUGAGAUGUGAAUAGUCGAUCGAGAGAGACCUAAAUACAAACCUUCUCAAUCAGUCAAGAGUGAACCAACAUGAGCUAGUCAUAUUAGAUUAAUUGAUCUAAUUGGUGUCUAGGCAGCUUAAAAGGUGGUUACUUAAUUAGGACCUUACUCUUCGAGUAAGGGGAACCUCCCACCUGCUUACCUGGCCAAUUGUUCCAUGCGAAACCAAUCACCGGCUAGUACAACCUCCGAUACCAAUUCGGAGAACCUUAAUUCUUGGAUAUUGCUAAAAGAAUGAUCUAUAUGUGUCCGUUUUUAAAAUUUAAAUAUGUUUUUUUUGAAUCCAUACUAACUAAAUAGUUAAUAGCACCAAGCUCCAUAAAAUAUGCAUAGAAGAGUAUAUUAGAACAAUAGUAAUUAUGCCAUCUUUAAGUGAAGCAUUAAAGUCGAUUUUAGAAGAAUUUGACAAACAUAACACAGAUCACCAACCUCAUAGUUUUGAAGUAAAUAUGCAAGCAAUGCUGAUAUUCCAUGAAUUGCAAACUUUUGUCCAAUGCAUGCUCGUGCACCAGCCCCAAAAGGAAGAAAUGCUGCACUUUUAUUUGGUUCACUUAUAAAUGGGCACUCUUCAUGCUUCUCAUGUUCCUCAAAUGUGCCUGCAAUUUCAUUUUGAGACAGAUAUUGAAAACAUUAACAAAUAAGUAUCUCAAAGAAAUGCUUUAAAGGAAUGAAAAAUGGAAUAAAUUCCAUUUCCUUUGAAGGGAGAUUGAAGUAUUGGGAGCGAACAUGCAUAAAUUAUAAAAUUGAAGGAGCCAAAAUGCAUGAUAAUGGAGGAGUUCUAUUAAACCUUUGUAAAUAAAUCAAAGCUAUAUCAUCUAAUAUUGCUUUGAUAUACCAGGAAUUAGGAAGCAUCUUACUCAGUAAAACUAUCAGAAAUAAAGCACAAUCCUUCAAACUAUUGGUAAAAGAAAUCAACCCCAUUAUGCCCAAAAGUAAUGCUCAAUCCUUAUUUGAUUUAAACAACUAAUACAGGUGACUGGCAUUGGUUGUUCUCGUCAGGUGCAACAAUUAUUGUAGCAUCAGACAAAUUGGCAAUAGCCUUUUUGUUCAUAGAAAUUCUUAAUAAGAUAAUUCUCAAAUGGUGAAAAAUCUCAGAAGACAAUGAUACAAAAAUGCAACCAACUAAAAGCCACAGAAAUAUUAUACUACCAAGAAGAGCAAAAUAUUGAUGUGUAGAAAAAGGAGAGAGAAAUGAACAUAGCUUUUGACACAAGAAUAAGAUCGUCUUAAACAACAAUAAGCAGCCUCCCACAAGAUUUUAGAAUUUUGGUUCAAGUCUUGGUUUUGAUAAGAGGACUAAAGUAUUGGCUGAAACAUGCUUCGACUGGGAUAGAUCUCAAACUGAUCAAAAAAUUCAGUUUCGGCCACCGGUUUCAACAGUUUCAGAUGAAACCAACUGAAGCUGCCGUUCUUUUACCCCAUUUGUUAACAAGUAUAUGUAUUUAUGUUUAAUAUGUGUUCGAUAUUAUUAAAUCACACGUUCAUCUGAGUCUCUAAUGAUCUUAUCUAUAUAACUUUUGUCUAAGUUAUUAUACUGGAAAGUCAAUGUAUUAAAAAGUGGAUAGAAAGCACAUAACAGCCAGGGGGGCUCCUAGCCAAUAGCGAAUAGCAAGUGCUAUGUACCCAAAGCAGGCUGUUGAAGUAUAUAUAUAUUUUCUUACUAAAUAUCAAAGAUAUCAACUCUACAUCAACUUCAUGUAAAAAAUGAAGAAAAUAAAGAAAAAUUUAAAACAACAUCCACGUAUCAUCGUAAUAUCAUAUCAACAUUUAUAAUUUUGUAUAAUGUAAAGGUACACGAUCUAAUGAGCAAUAUCAUCAUCCACCAAACAUAAUUACAUCACUCAAUAAAGAUGUCUACAAUAUGAUAACAUCAACCAUAGAAGAAAGAUGUCCACAAUCAUACAAAUAAUCCACUUCUCCUUAUCCUCUCUCUCUCUCNNNNNNNNNNNNNNNNNNNNCUCUCUCUCUCUCUCUCUCUCUCUCUCUCUCUCUCUCUCUCUCUCUCCCCCCAUGCUCCAAUUGAACAUGGGUAUGAAAUAACUAAACCAGCCCAUGUUUUAAUCAUCCUAUUGGACUAGCUGAUUGUUGGACCGCUUCAAUUGGAAAGUGGUCCAGUCUGCUAUAAAAUAAAUCACCCACUUCAAACACAGCAUCAUGGCUGCUACAGUGGGUUUCCCACUUCAUACUUGUGCCAUAUGGCACCACCAUGAUAUUUAGCAUAGCCUUCUUCGGCUGAAAGCGCUAUAGCCGCUGUAGCAGCCUAUUUUUAAAACAAUGUGGUCAAUCUGCAAACUUGAUAUAUCUUUACUAAUCAGGCAAGAUAGUUCGUCUUCUUAUUUUUCUUACUUAAAUGAGUUUCUUCCUCCUUUGCUAAAUAAAGUGAAAUAUUAAGAUGAAAUAAUGAAAUAAAAUGGGUUUUUUAUUUGGAUUGGUCCUUUUCUUUUCUUUGUCCAAAUGAAAUAGAGUAAAAUAUACUUAAAUGGGUUUCUUCUUGAUUAGAUGAAUUAAUAAAAUGCAACAAUGUUAAAUAUGCUUAGAUGUUUUUUUCCUCUGAUGAUUUAUAAAAAUGAAAUAGAAUGAAAUAUGCUUAGAGGAAAAGUUUAGUUAAAUUUUUAUGGAAAAUUAUAAAAAACAAAGAAAAGUAUAGAGAAAUUAUAAAAAUUAGAGAAUUGUAAGAAGCAGAGUCGCCGAGUUGGGAAACAAGUGUGAGAGAUCAUAUGAGAAACAAAAGUUGGUGAUUGAUAAGAAAUUAUACAAUUGGGAAAAUUGGUGGCAUCUAUAUAUGAUAAUUAAAAUUAUUCACAUAUUUAGCAUAGGAAAUAAAAAAGAUAUCUUACAAAGAUUAAAAAAAAUAAAAUCUCUACUCGUCGCCUAUGUUCUUUAAAAAGAAAAGAAAUAGGUAGCGAAGAUGAAUCUUUUUCUUCUAUUCUAAUGGGGCCUAGCUUCUAACUUUUUUUAGACAUGGGGUCCAUGUUGUGGUUUAAGGUAUAUUAGUAAUCAUUUUGAACUAAAACAAUUUUAGAUUGACAAAAUUUCUAAUUAAAGGACACUUAGAGCAAAAGUCUAUAUGGAAAGAUCACUCAUGCAAAGAAAAUCUAAAUCGAGGUUUUUUUUUAACUUCCUGUAGGUGGUGGGACUGAUGUGGUCGAGGCAUGUGGGGAAAGAGGACAAAGAGAGUGUGUAUUGGUUAUUUUCAGAAUGCAAAUUCAGCAUUUCUCAAAAUGCGCUUUGCACUCAUUUCUCAGGUUUUUUUUUUUUUUUUGUGGUACUAUAUAUUGAACGUGAGUACACCCAGCCAGAUCACUAGAAAGUAACAAAGACAAAGGAGGAGGAGCAUCUGAAUCAGACGUCCAUGGUAAGAAUAUUACAGAAAAAAAAGUCUAAACAUUUAAAGAAUUAAGCUUUGAUACAGUUUAAUUUCAAUCUGAGAUUACCCAAAAUACAUAUUAUAAUCCUAAAUAACUCAUAACACAAUAAAACGAUGUGAAUUAGCUUGUCUUUAUUUUUUCUCAACUUUUCUUGUUUGGAUCUUUUUAAACUUUUUUUACCAUAAGUCUAGAACUCAAGGUAAAAGUAUCAAAAUUGAAAUUACAAUGGUCAAGAAAAAUAGAGUUUUAUAAGAGAUGUGUAGAUCAUAUGUUAAUGAAUUUAGGGCUGAUUGAGUGACUGGCAGGGGUCGGUAGUCGACUUGUAAAAGUAUUUCAGGUUGCCUAUAUGAAUCUAUGCAGAAAUUCAGUGUGUACCACUAGAAAAAAGACAUAUAUGAGACUAAGUGCAAGUCAUCGAUACACAGAAAAGCACAGCAUAUGGAUAAGUUUAAGAAAAUAACAUAGAAACAAAAAUAGUAUGAAGCAAAAUAAAACAGGUAAAAUGAAAGAGGUUGGCGGAAAGAAAAACUAAAGAGACAGAAAGAAAAACUAGGAGGAAGUAAGAGAUGCAAAUCAGACAUCAAAUCCUUGAUGCCUUUCACAAGAACAGAGAGAAAGAAAACAGUUUAUCAUGCUUCUUGGAGUCUAGCAGAGGACCACAUAUGGCCUUCUCAGGUAAAUAAUAUCUAGAUUUUCCAGACCUCUAUAACGCAAAACUCAGUUUCUCACAGAUUCCUCUACAGAAGACACCUAAUCUACACAAAAUUAAAUCCUAAUGACUUCAGAAAUUUUCGAAUGUUAUAUAUAUAUAUAUAAUCUGAAAAUUACAAUAAACCUAAACUGCACCCAAUAGGCUACCAUUAAAUAAUAAGGUACCAUCAGAUGUAUGUACGCAGUAGUGGUGACACUAGCAGCAUCAAAACCCUAUUCUGCUUUCACCUUACUAGAUGAGUGGAAGUCAUGUUCCAAUAGAAUGAUCUUCCAGUCUAACCACUCAAAGUUGCUUACAUAAAGGGUUGGGGACCAAGUCUGUAUUUUAUUUUUGUAAUUAAACUUUUCCAAGCACCAAGAAAGAACACCAACAAGAUAGCCAUCCUUCAUGCUGCCAACCAUGAAAUUCUCUCAUUCACCAUUGACACCAAUGAGGGAUUUCAGCAAUGCAUGCUAUUUAUAUAUGAAAAAUAUUCUCUACAAAGAUAUCUUGCAUUAUCACAGCAUUGGACAUGGUUAAAGAUUUCUCUAAUUCUUUAACACAAGGUGAAUGCUAGGCAAGGGCACUGUAUUAAGUUCCUUCUUUAGUUAAUACAUACAUGGAAACACUCAAUGAAUUUUAACUUGCAAAUCAUAAUCCCUCUUACAUAUAUGAGAGUGAAACAAGGAGUCUAAUAAGUUCCCCUACUAAUCAAAGAUUUAAAUUCUUACGAAGUAAGUUGUAAUUCAUAAAACUUCAAAGAUGAUACUAAAAAUUUCAAGAAAUCAUUAAAUUCAUCUUUUGAUUAAGAAUUGUCAUUUUAAAUUGGAGUUCAGUAUUUUUCAUACUAAAGGCAUCUCCAUUCUGUGCAAUUUUCAAAUAAGUUGAAGGUGCAUUCCUCUAUAUU
RNAcentral lists this long non-coding RNA (10608 nucleotides) under Phoenix dactylifera (date palm). RNAcentral's name for it is "long non-coding RNA (PDAC_LNC005700)". The record is from RNAcentral. Lineage: Eukaryota; Viridiplantae; Streptophyta; Magnoliopsida; Arecales; Arecaceae.